UACGUAGGGUGCGAGCGUUAAUCGGAAUUACUGGGCGUACAGCGUGCGCAGGCGGCGGCCCACGUCAGGUGUGAAAUCCCCGGGCUUAACCUGGGAAUUGCGCUUGAAACUAGGUCGCUAGAGUGUGGCAGAGGGGGGUGGAAUUCCACGUGUAGCAGUGAAAUGCGUAGAGAUGUGGAGGAACACCGAUGGCGAAGGCAGCCCCCUGGGUCAACACUGACGCUCAGGCACGAAAGCGUGGGGAGCAAACAGG
RNAcentral lists this ribosomal RNA (253 nucleotides) under uncultured bacterium. Its description in RNAcentral is "partial 16S ribosomal RNA". It matches the Rfam family "Bacterial small subunit ribosomal RNA", at positions 524 to 776 of the family's 1533-position model. The record is from RNAcentral.